Acanthosepion pharaonis is the source of this 109-nucleotide non-coding RNA. NCBI's taxonomy places the organism in Eukaryota, Metazoa, Mollusca, Cephalopoda, Sepiida, Sepiidae. The record is from the annotation of a GenBank genome assembly.
UUACGGCCAUAUCACGUUGAAACAUUGGUUUCCGUACGAUCACCGAAGUUAAGCAACGUCAAACCUGGUCAGUACCUAGAUGGGUGUCCGCUUCGGAAAACCAGAUGCU